GGAAUAUUGGUCAAUGGGCGCAAGCCUGAACCAGCCAUGUCGCGUGCAGGAUGACGGCCCUAUGGGUUGUAAACUGCUUUUUUACAGGAAUAAUUGCAGAUACGUGUAUUUGUUUGAAGGUACUGUAAGAAUAAGGAUCGGCUAACUCCGUGCCAGCAGCCGCGGUAAUACGGAGGAUCCGAGCGUUAUCCGGAUUUAUUGGGUUUAAAGGGUCCGUAGGCGGGCUAAUAAGUCAGUGGUGAAAUCCCAGAGCUCAACUCUGGAACUGCCAUUGAUACUGUUAGUCUUGAAUUUAGUUGAGGUAGGCGGAAUACGUUAUGUAGCGGUGAAAUGCAUAGAUAUAACGUAGAACACCGAUUGCGAAGGCAGCUUACUAAGCUAACAUUGACGCUGAUGGACGAAAGCGUGGGGAGCGAACAGGAUUAGAUACCCUGGUAGUCCACGCCGUAAACGAUGAUUACUCGUUG
RNAcentral lists this ribosomal RNA (467 nucleotides) under uncultured delta proteobacterium. RNAcentral's name for it is "bacterial SSU rRNA". It matches the Rfam family "Bacterial small subunit ribosomal RNA", at positions 358 to 822 of the family's 1533-position model. The record is from RNAcentral. Lineage: Bacteria; Deltaproteobacteria.